AGUGAACGCUGGCGGUAGGCCUAACACAUGCAAGUCGAACGGCAGCACAGUAAGAGCUUGCUCUUACGGGUGGCGAGUGGCGGGCGGGUGAGGAGUACAUCGGAAUCUACUUUUUCGUGGGGGAGAACGUAGGGAAACUUACGCUAAUACCGCAUACUACCUACGGGUGAAAGCAGGAGAUCUUCGUCCCUUGCGCUAUUGAAUGAGCCGAUGUCGGAUUAGCUAGUUGGCGGGGUAAAGGCCCACCAAGGCGACGAUCCGUAGCUGGUCUGAGAGGAUGAUCAGCCACACUGGAACUGAGACACGGUCCAGACUCCUACGGGAGGCAGCAGUGGGGAAUAUUGGACAAUGGGCGCAAGCCUGAUCCAGCCAUACCGCGUGGGUGAAGAAGGCCUUCGGGUUGUAAAGCCCUUUUGUUGGGAAAGAAAAGCAGCAGGUUAAUACCACGCUGUUCUGACGGUACCCAAAGAAGAAGCACCGGCUAACUUCGUG
RNAcentral lists this ribosomal RNA (492 nucleotides) under uncultured bacterium. RNAcentral's name for it is "partial 16S ribosomal RNA". It matches the Rfam family "Bacterial small subunit ribosomal RNA", at positions 29 to 507 of the family's 1533-position model. The record is from RNAcentral.